GUGAAGAUGGCGUUAAUGGUAACGACCGCACAGCAUGUGAACCGAAUCCUUGUCCACAAGGCAUGGAAGUGUGUACAGAAACUGAGGAUGGCCGUUAUUCGUGUGGUCCACGCUUUGGCUUUUUCCAUACAGUUGGAGAUGUGGGGAAAUAAUUGCCAUAUUCCAUAAACAUCGCGCAGGAGAAAACCCAAUGACGUGAUGAUAUCCAUUAUUUAAGCAUACAUUUUUAAAUCUAGGCUUAUUUUCUAAAAAAUGUUGCAAGUUCUUUGUAAAGAGAUAUGCCUAUCUAUUAAAUAUACCUAUGAUUAACCCUG
Long non-coding RNA from Anneissia japonica, 314 nucleotides. RefSeq lists it as uncharacterized. The transcript is spliced from 2 exons. The record is from RefSeq and is a predicted model, not a curated record. NCBI's taxonomy places the organism in Eukaryota, Metazoa, Echinodermata, Crinoidea, Comatulida, Comatulidae.